Molecule: ribosomal RNA, 253 nt
Filed under: uncultured bacterium
Lineage: Bacteria
Description: partial 16S ribosomal RNA
Rfam family: Bacterial small subunit ribosomal RNA
Source: RNAcentral
UACGGGGGGGGCAAGCGUUGUUCGGAAUUACUGGGCGUAAAGGGCUCGCAGGCGGCCAACUAAGUCAGACGUGAAAUCCCUAGGCUUAACCUGGGAACUGCGUCUGAUACUGGAUGGCUUGAGUUCGGGAGAGGGAUGCGGAAUUCCAGGUGUAGCGGUGAAAUGCGUAGAUAUCUGGAGGAACACCGGUGGCGAAGGCGGCAUCCUGGACCGACAUUGACGCUGAGGAGCGAAUGCCAGGGGAGCAAACGGG